AUAUCGCGACGUAGUUUGAUCAGUGGCUCGAGGACAACGCUGGCGGCGUGCCUAACACAUGCAAGUCGAACGGGACUUAGUAGAAAGCGGCUUCGGCCAAUGGAAGCUAAGUUUAGUGGCGAACGGGUGAGUAACGCGUGAGAAACCUGCCUUUCAGUGGGGGACAACAGUUGGAAACGACUGCUAAUACCGCAUAAUGUGCCGGGAGGGCAUCCUCCUGGUACCAAAGCUUAAUGUGCUGAAAGAUGGUCUCGCGUCUGAUUAGCUAGAUGGCGGGGUAACGGCCCACCAUGGCGACGAUCAGUAGCCGGUCUGAGAGGAUGAACGGCCACAUUGGGACUGAGAUACGGCCCAGACUCCUACGGGAGGCAGCAGUGGGGAAUAUUGGGCAAUGGGGGAAACCCUGACCCAGCAACGCCGCGUGAAGGAAGAAGGCCUUCGGGUUGUAAACUUCUUUUAGUAGGGACGAAGAACGUGACGGUACCUACAGAAAAAGCAACGGCUAACUACGUG
RNAcentral lists this ribosomal RNA (513 nucleotides) under uncultured bacterium. Its description in RNAcentral is "bacterial SSU rRNA". It matches the Rfam family "Bacterial small subunit ribosomal RNA", at positions 1 to 507 of the family's 1533-position model. The record is from RNAcentral.